CCUACGGGGGGCUGCAGUGAGGAAUAUUGGUCAAUGGACGAGAGUCUGAACCAGCCAAGUAGCGUGAAGGAUGACUGCCCUAUGGGUUGUAAACUUCUUUUAUAUGGGAAUAAAAUGUUCCACGUGUGGGAUUUUGUAUGUACCAUAUGAAUAAGGAUCGGCUAACUCCGUGCCAGCAGCCGCGGUAAUACGGAGGAUCCGAGCGUUAUCCGGAUUUAUUGGGUGUAAAGGGAGCGUAGACGGUGAUGUAAGUCUGGAGUGAAAGGCGGGGGCCCAACCCCCGGACUGCUCUGGAAACUAUGUGACUGGAGUGCAGGAGAGGUGAGCGGAAUUCCUAGUGUAGCGGUGAAAUGCAUAGAUAUCACGCAGAACUCCGAUUGCGAAGGCAGCAUACCGGCGCUCAACUGACGCUCAUGCACGAAAGUGUGGGUAUCGAACAGGAUUAGAUACCCCAGUAGUC
Molecule: ribosomal RNA, 460 nt
Filed under: uncultured bacterium
Lineage: Bacteria
Description: partial 16S ribosomal RNA
Rfam family: Bacterial small subunit ribosomal RNA
Source: RNAcentral